This 384-nucleotide ribosomal RNA is filed under the name Triticum aestivum (bread wheat). RNAcentral's name for it is "partial small subunit ribosomal RNA". The record is from RNAcentral. Lineage: Eukaryota; Viridiplantae; Streptophyta; Magnoliopsida; Poales; Poaceae.
AUGGGACACGAGUUGGCCACAGGACUCAAGGCGCCGUCGUUUCUCAUGCCCUAUUCUUUCUCGUCGGAGCCCGAAACCCGUUUGUGUGCCUGUGGAUGUCAGGUCAAUCUGGGACGAGUUGGCGACAUCCACCAUGACGCGGUUGCGGCGUCCGGACUGGUGCACCGUACGGGGCACCGGAGAAUGCGACUCCGCCUCGCCGACGUCCACCGCUGCGAGCGUUGCCGUCGCGUCCCGGCCCCGUUGCCACACACGGCGAGCACGACACGCCAUGUUUGCGUCGGACGACGCCCACAGUGCGUCCAUGGCCUCGGCGCGCCAACGGAGGGGUUUCAUGUCCACUACCGCGUUCGAACGCCGGACGGACCGCAUCGCCUCCGGUGA